This 490-nucleotide ribosomal RNA is filed under the name uncultured bacterium. Its description in RNAcentral is "bacterial SSU rRNA". It matches the Rfam family "Bacterial small subunit ribosomal RNA", at positions 38 to 515 of the family's 1533-position model. The record is from RNAcentral.
GGCGGCAGGCCUAACACAUGCAAGUCGAGCGGCAGCGGGAAAGUAGCUUGCUACUUUUGCCGGAGAGCGGCGGACGGGUGAGUAAUGCCUGGGAAAUUGCCCAGUCGAGGGGGAUAACAGUUGGAAACGACUGCUAAUACCGCAUACGCCCUACGGGGGAAAGCAGGGGACCUUCGGGCCUUGCGCGAUUGGAUAUGCCCAGGUGGGAUUAGCUAGUUGGUGAGGUAAUGGCUCACCAAGGCGACGAUCCCUAGCUGGUCUGAGAGGAUGAUCAGCCACACUGGAACUGAGACACGGUCCAGACUCCUACGGGAGGCAGCAGUGGGGAAUAUUGCACAAUGGGGGAAACCCUGAUGCAGCCAUGCCGCGUGUGUGAAGAAGGCCUUCGGGUUGUAAAGCACUUUCAGCGAGGAGGAAAGGUCAGUAGCUAAUAUCUGCUGGCUGUGACGUUACUCGCAGAAGAAGCACCGGCUAACUCCGUGCCAGCAGC